RNAcentral lists this ribosomal RNA (262 nucleotides) under uncultured bacterium. RNAcentral describes it as "partial 16S ribosomal RNA". It matches the Rfam family "Bacterial small subunit ribosomal RNA", at positions 57 to 305 of the family's 1533-position model. The record is from RNAcentral.
GCGAGUCGAGCGGAAACGACAUUAACAAUCCUUCGGGUGCGUUAAUGGACGUCGAGCGGCGGACGGGUGAGUAAUGCCUAGGAAAUUGCCUUGAUGUGGGGGAUAACCAUUGGAAACGAUGGCUAAUACCGCAUAAUGCCUACGGGCCAAAGAGGGGGAUCUUCGGACCUCUCGCGUCAAGAUAUGCCUAGGUGGGAUUAGCUAGUUGGUGAGGUAAUGGCUCACCAAGGCGACGAUCCCUAGCUGGUCUGAGAGGAUGAUC